UACGAGGGGGGUAAGCGUUGUUCGGAAUUACUGGGCGUAAAGGGCUCGUAGGCGGCCAACUAAGUCAGACGUGAAAUCCCUCAGCUUAACUGGGGAACUGCGUCUGAUACUGGAUGGCUUGGAUUCGGGAGAGGAAUGCGGAAUUCCAGGUGUAGCGGUGAAAUGCGUAGAUAUCUGGAGGAACACCGGUGGCGAAGGCGGCAUUCUGGACCGACAUUGACGCUGAGGAGCGAAAGCCAGGGGAGCAAACGGG
This 253-nucleotide ribosomal RNA is filed under the name uncultured bacterium. Its description in RNAcentral is "partial 16S ribosomal RNA". It matches the Rfam family "Bacterial small subunit ribosomal RNA", at positions 524 to 776 of the family's 1533-position model. The record is from RNAcentral.